CAAUAGCGUAUAUUAAAGUUGUUGCAGUUAAAAAGCUCGUAGCUGGAUUUCUGGUGGGAGCGAUCGGUCUGGCGCUUAGCGCGAGUACUUGCAUCGUCUCCGGCCAUCCUUGGGGAGAGUCUGUCUGGCAUUAAGUUGUCGGGCAGAGGAUCCUCAUCGUUUACUGUGAAAAAAUUAGAGUGUUCAAAGCAGGCUUAUGCCGUUGAAUAUAUUAGCAUGGAAUAAUAAGAUAGGACUUUGGUACUAUUUUGUUGGUUUGCGCACCAAAGUAAUGAUUAAUAGGGACAGUUGGGGGUAUUCGUAUUCCGUUGUCAGAGGUGAAAUUCUUGGAUUUACGGAAGACGAACUACUGCGAAAACAUUUACCAAGGAUGUUUUCAUUAA
Molecule: ribosomal RNA, 383 nt
Filed under: uncultured eukaryote
Lineage: Eukaryota
Description: partial 18S ribosomal RNA
Rfam family: Eukaryotic small subunit ribosomal RNA
Source: RNAcentral